RNAcentral lists this ribosomal RNA (498 nucleotides) under uncultured bacterium. Its description in RNAcentral is "partial 16S ribosomal RNA". It matches the Rfam family "Bacterial small subunit ribosomal RNA", at positions 29 to 523 of the family's 1533-position model. The record is from RNAcentral.
AUUGAACGCUGGCGGCAUGCUUUACACAUGCAAGUCGAACGGUAACAGGCCGCAAGGUGCUGACGAGUGGCGAACGGGCGAGUAAUGCAUCGGAACGUGCCAAGGCGUGGGGGAUAACGCAGCGAAAGCUGUGGUAAUACCGCAUACGAUCUAUGGACGAAAGCGGGGGACCGGAAGGCCUCGGGUGAUUGGAGGGGCCGAGGGCAGAAUAGGUAGUUGGUGGGGUAAAGGCUCACCAAGCCAACGGUCUGUAGCUGGUGUGAGAGGACGACCAGCCACACUGGGACUGAGACACGGCCCAGACUCCUACGGGAGGCAGCAAUGGGGAAUUUUGGACAAUGGGCGCAAGCCUGAUCCAGCAAUGCCGCGUGCAGGAAGAAGGCCUUCGGGUUGUAAACUGCUUUUGUACGGAACGAAAAGGUUUGGGUUAAUACCCUGGGCCGAUGACGGUACCGUAAGAAUAAGCACCGGCUAACUACGUGCCAGCAGCCGCCGUAA